This 253-nucleotide ribosomal RNA is filed under the name uncultured bacterium. RNAcentral describes it as "partial 16S ribosomal RNA". It matches the Rfam family "Bacterial small subunit ribosomal RNA", at positions 524 to 776 of the family's 1533-position model. The record is from RNAcentral.
UACGUAGGGCGCAAGCGUUAUCCGGAAUUAUUGGGCGUAAAGAGCUCGUAGGCGGUUUGUCGCGUCUGUCGUGAAAGUCCGGGGCUCAACUCCGGAUCUGCGGUGGGUACGGGCAGACUAGAGUGAUGUAGGGGAGACUGGAAUUCCUGGUGUAGCGGUGAAAUGCGCAGAUAUCAGGAGGAACACCGAUGGCGAAGGCAGGUCUCUGGGCAUUAACUGACGCUGAGGAACGAAAGCAUGGGGAGCGAACAGG